AGAGGGAGGGGGGAGGGACAGGGGAGCCCGGGGGAGGGAGAGAGAGGGAGUCGGAGAGACGGAAAGGCUGAGAGCUCUUCCUCCUCCCAAAUCGCAAGAGAUCCUCUAUCUCCUAACUCCGCUGCAAUGCCUCACUCCUCUAUACACUCUUUGCCGCUUUAGGGCUUCGGGAGCCCUUCGAUCGGCAGCGGAGGUCGUUUUCUUGGGAUAUUCCUGGGCUGAUCUUUGAUUGGAAUAUUUCCCUUUUUCUUGGCAAUGUACAUUCAAGAGUGGAUUCUGUUCUUGUAAUGCGCUGGGCAUUCUGCUGAGAUCUGCGAAGAUCUCAUGAUUUUCCAGGAAGAAGAUCCCGUGUUUUGUCUGUGAUUUUGUCUGUUGACAGCAAAGCUGCCAUUUUGUUCCUUCAAUAUGCGGUGAGAAGGUGCUAGGCGGUCAAAGUAUUCUUGUACCAAUAGCAGAAAUAUGAAGUCAGGCUCAAAGAAGGGAAGAAAUACAAAGUUGGGCUUGCUGAAGAGUUGGCCUCUUCGCCUGAGAGGCAAAUCUUCCACUCGUUUCUGUAUGUUCCCCAAGGUUCGUUCAGCCGAGAGAACAGAUGGAAAUGCACCAGUUUAUCUGAAUGUGUAUGACCUUACAUCUGUGAAUGACUUUGUUUAUUGGGCAGGCAUUGGAAUAUUCCAUUCAGGGGUUGAAGUUCAUGGCAUGGAGUAUGCAUUUGGUGCACAUGACUACCCAACUAGCGGUGUCUUUGAAGUUGAGCCUCGCUCUUGUCCAGGCUUUAGAUUCCGGAAGUCAAUAUUCAUGGGCACAACAUGUUUAGACCCUAUUCAGGUCAGAGAGUUUAUGGAGCUCAAUUCUGUAAACUAUAAUGGAGAUGACUACCAUUUGAUUGUGAAGAACUGCAACCAUUUCUGUGAGGAUAUCUGUUAUAAGUUGACAGGCAAUUCAAUUCCAAAAUGGGUCAAUCGACUUGCCAAUAUAGGCUCCCUUUGCAGCUGCAUCCUGCCCGAGGCCUUUCAGAUUUCUGCUGUUCGUCAUGAGCCUGAUUUCCAAGCAGAUGAUGGUGAGACGAUGAAGUUGACAAGCAGUUUUAGCUGCCUAACUUCGGUCUCCAUGCAUCAGAGGCAGUUGGCAGCCUCGUCCGUCUUCUUGAGUUCUCCCCUGAAAGGUUGCUUUCAACCAUGGGAGUUCAGCAGGUCUGGUUCUGUCCAUUGAAGGAGAGGUAACGCUGCUUGUCCGGUUGGUCAAAUCCCAUGGCUUUAUAGCAAAACGGUUUCAGACCUUUGGAGAAUUCAAGCUUAUUUCGCUUUUGGCAAUCUUUAGCAAUCUAUAACUUUCAUGCUGGUUGUGGAAAAACGGAUUCUGAGUGUUCAGAAUGCUGAAAGAAGCAACAAAUGUUGUAUAGUUUUCUUUGUUCAGGUGGGCUCAAGAAGCGGAACUACUAAGACCCGCAGGGGUGAUUUUUGGCUGGAUGUCAUCUGGAACAGAGAGUACGAUAGGGAACUUCAAUGGUUCUUACUACUAUUGAGUAAGCUGGUUUUGCUGCACAAAAACCGUUUGAAGUUUUAUUCAGUGGCUCUUCUUUCAAUUGACAUUGGGAAAGCAAUGAAGGAGCAUGCAGAGGAGGGAUCUUGUAUGCAGAUCUGUUUUUGCCUCAUGAGAAGAGAUCUCAAGAAACAAAGGCCGAGGCUGUGGUGUGCCUAAUUCAUUCAUCGCGCUUCCGUAGCAAAGGAGGAAAGGUUGAUUUAUAACACAUGCUGGAUGAAAUGAUGGGUUCAUAUGCGCAAAGAAAUUUCCUGAAUUUUCCUUCUAUAUUUUUAUGCUGAAGUUCUAUUUGUGGUUUAACCAGGGUAGUAAAUAUACCAAAAAAAGUUGAAAAUUCUUGGAAAUGGGAUUGACUUGUUGCUUGGGAAUGUAAUAGCCGAGUCAAAUAUCAGAAUUUUCCUUUUUG
This is a non-coding RNA of Elaeis guineensis (African oil palm), 1945 nucleotides long. NCBI's taxonomy places the organism in Eukaryota, Viridiplantae, Streptophyta, Magnoliopsida, Arecales, Arecaceae. The record is from RefSeq and is a predicted model, not a curated record.